GAUUAACGCUAGCGGCAGGCCUAAUACAUGCAAGUCGAACGGCAGCACGGGUAGCAAUACCUGGUGGCGAGUGGCGCACGCGUGCGUAACGCGUAUGCAAUCUACCUAUAACUGGGGAAUAGCCUUCCGAAAGGAAGAUUAAAACCGCAUAAUAUCACGAAGCGGCAUCGUUUUGUGAUCAAAUCUCCGGAGGUUAUAGAUGAGCAUGCGUGACAUUAGCUAGUUGGUGAGGUAACGGCUCACCAAGGCUACGAUGUCUAGGGGGUCUGAGAGGAUGAUCCCCACACUGGUACUGAGACACGGACCAGACUCCUACGGGAGGCAGCAGUAAGGAAUAUUGACAAUGGCGCAAGCCUGAUCCAGCCAUG
This 368-nucleotide ribosomal RNA is filed under the name uncultured bacterium. Its description in RNAcentral is "bacterial SSU rRNA". It matches the Rfam family "Bacterial small subunit ribosomal RNA", at positions 28 to 396 of the family's 1533-position model. The record is from RNAcentral.